This 585-nucleotide long non-coding RNA is filed under the name Homo sapiens (human). RNAcentral describes it as "HSALNT0397227". The record is from RNAcentral. Lineage: Eukaryota; Metazoa; Chordata; Mammalia; Primates; Hominidae.
AUUCCGAGAUUGUGUGCUGAGGGUUUUCAACUGCAUCUCUAAAGGGAAGGCCAAAGAAAGAGCAACAGGAAAGGAUGGUAAAAAGGGGGUAGAAAGGAAGAAGGAAGGGAAGAAAAAAGGGAAAACAGCAAGCUCUCUUUCCAGAGCCACACAUUUUUUUCUGUUUGCUCAGUGGCAGUCUGUUAAAGAAAUACUUCAUUGUCACUGAACACAGAGUCAUUAAAGGCACCUUGGAAAUUUGGACCCUUUUACUAGAAUCAGGGCUUAAAUAGCAACUUAAUUUAUGACACUUCUCGAGGCUGAUGGCGUUUUUGCUCUAAGACCUGCCUUGCAAGAAAUGUUAAAAGAAGUGCUUUAGAGAGCAGGGAAAUUCUAUAGGUCAGACACUUGGAUCUACAUAAAAAAAGGAAGAAACCAAAGGAGAAAUAAGUGAAGGGGCUUGAAGAAGAUAUCUAGAAAUGUCAAAGCAGAAGAGCCUCGGAGAUAAUCUGAACUAUUUCUGAGUUUAUAUAAGGGAAAACUGAGACUGGAGAGAACUAACAUGUCUAAUAUUACAAUGGAAACUUGUAAUAAAACCACAAAUUG